GUCGUCAUGAUUCAGUAGUGCUUUCUUGAUGAGAAAACUGAGAGUCUGUGGCCCGGGUGGUAGAAGUCUACAGGUGGGUGAGUUACAGUGGAAACACGCAGUGCCCAUUUCUAGAGUUUCAAUGCUGCCACUUUGAAGCUGGAGCUGUGAACGUCUCUCCUGGGAGAUGAGUGCUCCUGACGCCCCUUCGCACCUGCUCGUUCACACAGCUCAAUCAUUCACACAUUCACUGCCGUGCUUCUGUGAACAUCUGUUGCAAAGCGAAUGAGGGGCAGUACAGCAGGAUACUGCUCUCCAACAGAGGUUCGUUUACAGUAUAAAGACGGAGCUGCAGUGAGUACGAAUGUGUUGUACCAGAGAUUACAGCCAAGAAGCCACGUACAUGCUGCUUAUGAGUUUCACAUGUAAAUAACUAACCCGAGGAAAAAGUAGGGACACGUCCACAUUUAUCUGCACUUAAACUGGAUAAAAUGACCUACAGGUGUAUGACAUCAGGUGCAAGUUAUUAGAACAUUGUUACAGAGCAUUUUGAAGAAGGCUUGUCUUAUUUACACCUCAGAUAUUUAGUUUGGUUUGCACUUAAUUGUUGAACUGAGAGCUAUCACCAUGGUGAGAUCCAAAGAGCUCUCUGAGGCCUUCAGAAAGAAAAUUGUUGAGGCUUAUGAGUCUGGUAAGGGAUAUAAAAUGAUCUCAAAAGAACUUGUAAUUCACCCCAUGAGCAGACUGCAAGAGGCUUAAAGAAGUCACCAAAAACCCUAAAAUAUCAUUACGGGACCUAUAGCAAGCUCUUGUUACUUGUUAAAUGUGCUUUGAACAGAUGAGUCUAUAAUUUUAUUUUUUUGGACACCAUAACAAAAUAGAGCAUUUCAGCAAAAGAACCUCAUACCAACUGUGAAACAUGGAGGUGGAAAUGUUAUGGUUUGGGGAUGCUUUGCUGCAGAAGGACCUUUCCAGCUCAUCAUCAUAGAAUCCACUAUGAAUUCUUCUAUUAUAUCAGAAGGUGCUUGAAGAUCAUGUGUACGG
Molecule: long non-coding RNA, 1023 nt
Organism: Tachysurus vachellii
Lineage: Eukaryota; Metazoa; Chordata; Actinopteri; Siluriformes; Bagridae
Exons: 3
Source: RefSeq, a predicted model, not a curated record